RNAcentral lists this long non-coding RNA (1948 nucleotides) under Mus musculus (house mouse). RNAcentral describes it as "long non-coding RNA chr18:38861738-38863686". The record is from RNAcentral. Lineage: Eukaryota; Metazoa; Chordata; Mammalia; Rodentia; Muridae.
AUGUUAAGGAUGGCCUUCCUUCUUCAGUCCCAGCCAGAAGUGGCUGUUAGAUUGUUUUUAAAGUACUGGGCAUGGAUUUGGCUCUCCCUGCCUGUAUCCUUGCCUCAAUCAAUUGGGACAAAGAUGAACAGUUAGAUACAUCAGAAGGCUGGAUGGGGUUGGAGGUACCAACUCUGGCUAAGGAUUAUAUUAAUGUCCUCAUUUACAUGUGUGUAUAAGCUGUGCAGUCUGAAAGCUAUCUCCCAGAACCUUCAACAAUUUAGUGACAUUGGCCAGCACCCACCAGGUCCUUCUGGUCCUUCUGGAAUGCAGUGAGAACUACAGUAUCUACAGUUCUUUAUUUCUGCCUGCUCCUCCUGUAAGCGGGGCAGUCAAGGGGUGGCUAUACAGUUCAGAUGGUUCCCUCUACUGACCCAGAAGCUUACAUGUGUACACGGAUGCUGAAAGUCACAUGCUGCCUCUUUAAAAUAAGCCUGGUGUCACUGUGGAGCUGCUAGCUGUGGCAGGUGGAUUUAUGAAUCAUCUGAAGCCAGAGGGUGGGGCAUGGAGAACCUCCUGUUCUUAAUUUUAUUUGCAAUUUAUCUACAUUUUGAGAAUUGGACAGUCCAGAAUUCUUUGGCCAAUCCAUUGUUUGCUAAUGGAUAUGAAUAAAGGAAAUCUAUGGCAUGGCAAAAACCAUAAGGCAGCAACAUUUACAGGUCCCUGGGAAUUUACACAAAUUGCUUCCAUAAAUGAAUCCAUCAACUGAGUGAAAUCAGGCGUUAAGUAUAGUGUGGAUUUGCAAGCCCUGCUUUUCAUUACUAUUGUCUGGUUUAGUGGCUAUCUGGAGAGGGGAUUUUUUGUGUGGGAGAUGGGGAAGAUUGAGUCCAAUGGAUGCCCUUUCAUCCUUUCCACCAAGCUGGCUUCUGGAUUUGGGACACUGCUGAGAUUUUAGGAAAGCCAGAUGAUCUUCUUGAUUUGCCAGCAACAGAGAAGUAAGAGGAACACUAGACCAAUUGGAAUGUCCAUGUUAAAGCUGACAGAGUCUGUUGGCUGUGGCCUCUGGACCAGACACAUGAAAUGGGGAAGUUUAUAGCCUUGCCUGGGAACUCAUGUCAUUUCUCCACGUGGGAUUCCGAGUAUCUACUGCACAGCCCUCGGCAUGCACAAAUGCACCAUUGAGAAUGUGGCUGUACCCUGUCAGGAGAUGUUUCCUCUAUGAUUCCCAUGCUACCUGCUGCACAGACUCCUCUAAAGGGUUAAACAAACACAACAUUCAAAAAGCACUUGGAAAAGAGUAAAAAUGUGACCCAACCUGUUAGACAUAAGAGCACUGGUUUUAUUAAACUGGUUGAAGCCUGAUGUGACCUGGGUCAGCUUUAUUUAAGAUAGUUUUUUUAUUCUCUUCCAUAUGUGGCAUGAAUUAGCUAAGCUUUUCCUUUUGUUAAAUCACAAAGAAGAUGAAGGAAGCAAAGAUGAACUGUUGUGUAAGGGAGAAUUCAAGUCAUUGUUGCAGAGUCAGAUACGGGCAUCUGGACGGUUAUGGAAGUGACUCUUGGGGAUUGGAGAAAGGUUUAUAGUUCUGAGAACCAAAGACAGACAGACAUUGACACCUGUAUGUCUGUUUUAACCCCUGUUGCUGGUUAUGUAGCAGAGUCUAUCCAUGUACAAAAGCAUUUUGCAAACUGCAUAAGGGCAUUAAAAAUAGUGAGUUUCUAUUACGGUUGUCCUCAAACCUAGCACGUAUAAAACAGGACCUAGCUUCAGUUCUAUAUACUGUUCAUGUCUCUAUAAAUGAAACCACCCAGAAGCCUUGAUAGUACCUCUAGAGAUGUUAGCUCACUUUAGAUUUUAAGUCAGAUGUGUAUGUUAGAUGUUAAAAAUAAAUAAAAUGCAUUUUCAGCUGAUAGCUAGUAGGGGCUAGAGGGAUGAAACAGAGUAGGGAACACUGCAUUUGUAUAAAUUAUCC